GUAGGCAUAGUUUAAUAAAAACAUUAGAUUGUGAUUCUAAAAAUAAAGGAUAAAAACCUUUUACCUGCC
RNAcentral lists this transfer RNA (69 nucleotides) under Ariosoma shiroanago (shiro-anago). Its description in RNAcentral is "tRNA-His". It matches the Rfam family "tRNA". From Rfam's summary of the family: Transfer RNA (tRNA) molecules are approximately 80 nucleotides in length. Their secondary structure includes four short double-helical elements and three loops (D, anti-codon, and T loops). Lineage: Eukaryota; Metazoa; Chordata; Actinopteri; Anguilliformes; Congridae. The record is from RNAcentral.